AAAGAUGAUUUCUCUCCUUUUGGAUUUGCCAGUCAGCUGUCAGAUGAGAGAUAAUAGAUGUGAUGACUUUUUAUAUAGGAUAAAUUUUACAGUCAAGGAUCAAAGACUGCAACUGUCCAUAAACUGGCAAUUGUCAAUGAGAUCUGAUAUGCAGAAAUGUAGGUGAUGUCACGCUACAUAUUUUGGAAGGACAGAAAGCACUUUUAAGUAACUCUGUAUUGAUGCACCUGGGAAACAAUGUUUAAACAGCUUCCAGCUUUGAUGCCUUUGGGUCCAGUUCAUGUUCCCCAUUGGACUAAACCAAUCAAAUGUGAUUGUAGAGAAGAGAGUAUUUCCUCUACAAAUAUAUGAUAUUCUACUGAAAAAAACAGAACUGGUCAUCCAAGCUUGUAAGGUAAAACAGUAUUGUAGUAAUGACUGUGAACUUAAUACAAAUAAGCAAAUAUGCUACACUACUACAAUAUAUUUCAUAUAU
Molecule: long non-coding RNA, 475 nt
Organism: Dromaius novaehollandiae (emu)
Lineage: Eukaryota; Metazoa; Chordata; Aves; Casuariiformes; Dromaiidae
Exons: 4
Source: RefSeq, a predicted model, not a curated record